GAAACGCAGUACCUGGUCGUGCGAGCUGUUAGUCUGCAGAGUGGGUAAUGUCAACACUGCAGCUGUGUUCGAAUCAUUGAUUUUGGGAGCCAGUCAGUGAAAUACCUCGACGUACGUAACGUCCCUGUUGUGACAUAUGCAAUCAACAUACAUUCAUUGUGAUUAAUUCCUGGAGUUAUGAGAAUAUACGACACUUUGGGAUACAAUGUAAUCAUCAAUAUAAGCUUACAUGCAGAUGUAGAUUAGAAAUAUGCUCACAAUGGACACAUAUAAUCCCCAGACAAUGAGUGAACCAGAAUCAACGUUGCUGCCUUUGGACACAACGUCACCGUCAUCCCCGUCACGUCAACGACGCCGCCCGGGAGUUUUAUUCUAUACUGUCAUCACUGUGUCCCUUACUGCAAACGUUCUUCUUGUUGUCGCGGUCACCGUCCAGACAAUGAUGGCGUCACGUGACUCGCACAAGGUGAGUGUAGAGGGAUUCUCAAAUUCGCUUAGCCACGUGGACACCGCCGCUUAAGUCUGUUUCACCUGUGACCACCUGGGCCCGCUGAUCGAAUCCAAGGACACUCUCUAUGACGUCAUACGACUCUCUUCUGGUCACACGUUUUGUUGUCAGAGACAGAAUAAUGACGUCACCAAGCUUUUCAGAAAGAUCGUAUCGGACGAAUAUCUGAGGCGAUUGACAGGACGCGAGCCACCCAAGUCAGAUAGGGAUAGGAGACACGGGCUGAAUAUCAACAAAGGGUCAACAGGAGCUCAUCUUUAUAUGGUCCCUCAAGCAGAUUCGCCGCCAUCAUGGACAUCAAGCGACAUCUACAACACCUCCUACUGCUUCAACGUGGUGUGUGGUGAUGGGGGUAUUGUCGUUCCAGCGGCCGGCAUUUACCUGGUGUACUCUCACCUCACGUUCACCACACAGCCAGCCUCUGAAGAUACAUUCAUACACGUCAUACAGCGGCGGAACCGGAACUUGCCUGGUCUGGACAUGCAUCAUCAACCAAGUCAGCGAGCCUGACAACGGGUCAGAAGAAAUAUGCAACCGAUUCUCCAGUGAUCAUGUUCUAAAUAUGACCCUGUGACAUCACCGGAUGUUUAUAUACAAUUUUGUAACCCGAGACAAACGGGAAAUUACUUUCUUUGUUUGUUGUUUAAC
Long non-coding RNA from Haliotis rufescens (red abalone), 1156 nucleotides. RefSeq lists it as uncharacterized. NCBI's taxonomy places the organism in Eukaryota, Metazoa, Mollusca, Gastropoda, Lepetellida, Haliotidae. The record is from RefSeq and is a predicted model, not a curated record. The transcript is spliced from 4 exons.